AGUGAACGCUGGCGGUAGGCCUAACACAUGCAAGUCGAACGGCAGCACAGUAAGAGCUUGCUCUUACGGGUGGCGAGUGGCGGACGGGUGAGGAAUACAUCGUACUCUACUUUUUCGUGGGGGAUAACGUAGGGAAACUUACUCUAAUACCGCAUACGACCUACGGGUGAAAGCAGGGGAUCUUCGGACCUUGCGCGAUUGAAUGAGCCGAUGUGGGAUUAGCUAGUUGGCGGGGUAAAGGCCCACCAAGGCGCCGAUCCGUAGCUGGUCUGAGAGGAUGAUCAGCCACACUGGAACUGAGACACGGUCCAGACUCCUACGGGAGGCAGCAGUGGGGAAUAUUGGACAAUGGGCGCAAGCCUGAUCCAGCCAUACCGCGUGGGUGAAGAAGGCCUUCGGGUUGUGAAGCCCUUUUGUUGGGAGAGAAAAGCAGCAGGUUAAUACCCCGCUGUUCUGACGGUACCCAAUGAAUAAGCACCGGCUAACUUCGUG
This 492-nucleotide ribosomal RNA is filed under the name uncultured bacterium. RNAcentral's name for it is "partial 16S ribosomal RNA". It matches the Rfam family "Bacterial small subunit ribosomal RNA", at positions 29 to 507 of the family's 1533-position model. The record is from RNAcentral.